RNAcentral lists this long non-coding RNA (1052 nucleotides) under Betta splendens (Siamese fighting fish). Its description in RNAcentral is "lncRNA (ENSBSLG00000025728.1)". Lineage: Eukaryota; Metazoa; Chordata; Actinopteri; Anabantiformes; Osphronemidae. The record is from RNAcentral.
GGGGUGGCCAGACCCGAAGCUUUCCAGCAGAACUCUGCCCAAAGCGUACAGCCGCCUCCGCAGACUUCCCAUAAUGCAUUUUGGUGACAUGCGUUGCCCAGGUAAGUGAUGCACGCGCCCAGUCAUCCCACCUGAUGCUGAGGAAGACGUGGUUUAAGCCAUGGUCCCGUCGUCAGUUAAGCAUUGUUCCCUCCUUCGUCCGCUACUUAUACUUUUUGCGUCACGUCACUGCAAAUGGACGAAUUCCUAAAUGUGUGCUAAGUUAUGCUAGUCAUUCGUUUUUCAAGAUGUAUGUGCAAAUACAGCCAGCACGGGCAGUGCAGCGGUCACUUCCGGUUGGUGUCGCGCGUCAGCAACUUCACCUUGAUAAAGUUCGAGCCUUCUCAGAGGAAUCCUGCAAAUCUCCUGCAUGGCACAGUGUGGACUGAAGGGGAGUUAGGACUCAAGAAGUCAAGAGAAAACCUGCGAGGCUCAUUAUGAUUCACUUAUCCAGUUGUAAACGAGGAGUCAUGGACGUCUGCUCCUUUGGGAAUCUCCAGCCCUUUGAAAAGAAAAUAGAGGUUAAAAAUCUGCUAAACGAGUUUGUAGCAACCAGGAUUCUUCUCUUCCACAGGGUUACAGGUAUGCUGGAGUCUACAGUACACCAUACCCAGUCACCAGACCAGCACGGGGCCACAAGCACAGACAAACAACCACUCACUCUCCCACUCACCUCUGGGCAAUUUGGAAUCACCAAUCAACCCAACUGCAUGUCUUUGGAGUGUGGGAGGAAACCCGAAGUACCCAGAGAAAAAACACGCUACCCUUCUUGCUGUGAGGUAACCACUACACUGUCACACCUGUACGGCUGAUGCCUUAAAUGGUUAAUUUUAAUGAAAGGUAGCUGUUUGGAACGGAAGGCACUUAGUUCAUUAAAUAGUAAACACUGCUAAAGAAUGUGCUAUGUACAUUUAUUUCCUUUAAACUUUAAUAACAAGUUUAUUACCUUGUUCCCAAUAGUGUUUAGAUCUUUUACAUUUAGCCAACAAUAAAGAGGUAAAUUGUUAGUGACA